Molecule: ribosomal RNA, 451 nt
Filed under: uncultured bacterium
Lineage: Bacteria
Description: partial 16S ribosomal RNA
Rfam family: Bacterial small subunit ribosomal RNA
Source: RNAcentral
GUGGGGAAUAUUGGACAAUGGGGGGAACCCUGAUCCAGCCAUGCCGCGUGUGUGAAGAAGGCCUUUUGGUUGUAAAGCACUUUAAGUGGGGAGGAGGCUUACCUGGUUAAUACCUAGGCUAAGUGGACGUUACCCACAGAAUAAGCACCGGCUAACUCUGUGCCAGCAGCCGCGGUAAUACAGAGGGUGCGAGCGUUAAUCGGAUUUACUGGGCGUAAAGCGCGCGUAGGUGGCCAAUUAAGUCAAAUGUGAAAUCCCCGAGCUUAACUUGGGAAUUGCAUUCGAUACUGGUUGGCUAGAGUAUGGGAGAGGAUGGUAGAAUUCCAGGUGUAGCGGUGAAAUGCGUAGAGAUCUGGAGGAAUACCGAUGGCGAAGGCAGCCAUCUGGCCUAAUACUGACACUGAGGUGCGAAAGCAUGGGGAGCAAACAGGAUUAGAUACCCGAGUAGUCC